GGUCCAAAUUUGAAGUAGAGUAGAUUAGUAGCAUUAGCUGAUGCUACUAAUCUACUCUACUUCAAGUUUGUACCC
Non-coding RNA from Haemonchus placei, 75 nucleotides. The record is from Rfam. Lineage: Eukaryota; Metazoa; Nematoda; Chromadorea; Rhabditida; Trichostrongylidae.